AUUGAACGCUGGCGGCAUGCCUUACACAUGCAAGUCGAACGGCAGCACGGGAGCAAUCCUGGUGGCGAGUGGCGAACGGGUGAGUAAUAUAUCGGAACGUGCCCGGUCGUGGGGAUAACGUAGCGAAAGCUACGCUAAUACCGCAUACGAUCUACGGAUGAAAGCGGGGGAUCGCAAGACCUCGCGCGAUUGGAGCGGCCGAUAUCAGAUUAGGUAGUUGGUGAGGUAAAGGCUCACCAAGCCGACGAUCUGUAGCUGGUCUGAGAGGACGACCAGCCACACUGGGACUGAGACACGGCCCAGACUCCUACGGGAGGCAGCAGUGGGGAAUUUUGGACAAUGGGCGCAAGCCUGAUCCAGCAAUGCCGCGUGCAGGAUGAA
Molecule: ribosomal RNA, 381 nt
Filed under: uncultured bacterium
Lineage: Bacteria
Description: bacterial SSU rRNA
Rfam family: Bacterial small subunit ribosomal RNA
Source: RNAcentral